UGUGAAUGUGUGUGGUGCCAUGGAAGU
This 27-nucleotide non-coding RNA is filed under the name Mus musculus (house mouse). Lineage: Eukaryota; Metazoa; Chordata; Mammalia; Rodentia; Muridae. The record is from RNAcentral.